AUUGGGUCUGACAUCCUGAGACAUGCUUCAGACACAGCGACAACUACUCGUGCGCAGACACGAUACCCAGUGCCAGCCAGGAGCUGCAGGGUCUGCUGGAUUUAACCAGAGAUGUCUGAUUUGGGGAAGAAAUACACAACUGUGCUUCAGCGUGUCCAGAAGCCGCUGUUGUGUCAGCCCUGCUUUUUUGGGAAGCUGUUGGGCAAGAAACCGAGGCACAGAGCAGCCAGAGCUGGACACCAGUGCCUGGCUUCCCAGCAUGGAGCACGUGCUCCCUCCAGAUACGUCGCUCUCAAGCAGCCGUGGAGGUCAGGCAUGGGAGUAUAGCAGAGUAGUGUGCCGGCUCCAGGUCAGCACAAAAACCUCUGUGCUGGUGACUCACCAAAUGCUAUUUAUGCUCUCCAAGUGGAGAGAGGUUUGGGGCAGGCCCUCAUUGCGCAGGUUUGGGGGGGUUCACCCUCCUCACCUCUACUGUGUGGACCUUCUCCUGUUGUUGGGGAUGUGGCGGCAGGGAAAUCCAGUCAGACCAGAAAAACUAUUGAUAAUAGGGGAGGGAGAACAAGAUAAAGGAGCAGCCCAUGGCUUUGUUGUGCAAAAAGUACCAGGUGAUCAAAAGCACCUACCCUGCAGAGAGACCUCAUGUCCAGGUGCUGGGGCAGGGCCCUGCAGGCAAACAGCUCCUGGAAGUGCAACAGCCCCUGGUUCCCACGCCAAGGCACUGUGGUAGUCCGGGCUCCUCUGCCAUGCUGAGCAGCAGGACCCUGGGUGCUGUGGGGCUUUUCCAGCUUGGCCUGACCCAGCCCUCGGGGUGGUAAAUUCUGAAAAGACACUUGCUGAGUUGUGAGGACAUCCCAAGGCUCCCUCCAUCCUUCCCACAGCAGCCGUGCAGCAUCAGGUGGGACCAUACAGACGGACGAGGGGCCGGCACCCACCCACACUCAGAAACAGUGUCCCCUCUCCCCAGCUGUGUGCUCCGGGGACAGAGCCUGGCCUGACCCCUGGGUCAUGUGGCUUUGAGGCUCCUGUGUUUCAGCAGACCUCAGGGACUUUUUACCGUGCUAAGAUCAGUGUACAUCUGCUUUGCCUGGUGCAGAGCUGGCAAGAGAGGGGAAGGCUGUGGUUUGCAUUGUCACCUUAAUCUCUCAAAGGUGUUUCCCAGCUCUGCACCCCUCCAGGACAGAGCCUCACAGGUUGCCUCAUGCCUGGCAGAGAAGCCUUCGGACUGUGUGUUCAGCUUAUCUCAGCCCUGGUCAAUGGUCCAGGGCUGCCCAAUGGCUCUGCCAGGUGCAGACAUCUCUGCCAUGAGAGCUAGGCUGGGCCCCAGCAGCGCCGAGGGGAGCGAGCCGAUGUAAGCCACACACUGCCACCGCAUGCAAGGUCCUGACCUGCCACCUCAGCCCGUGGCUUGUCCCCACAACCUUCCUGCUUUUGCGAGGAGCAUGAGGGGAGUAAAGAUGUGUUUCCCUGAUGGGCCGCAUCCUGCCAGAUUGGUACAAAGAUGGGGCACGUCAGCUCAGUUACACUGCACAGCUGCAUCCCUGAGCCCCUUUCCCUGCCCGCAGUGUGGGGUUGUGUACAAGGCAGAAAGGCAGAUCCCAGCGCUCAGAGCUGCGGUUGCCAUGGGGUGAUGCUGAGCACAGCCCUGAGCAUCUCUGGUCCCACAGCUGAGAGCUGCCGCCGCACUGCCGUCAUGUGGGUGCCGGGGUCCCCACGUCCAAGCAUCCUCUGUGCGGUCACUUCCCUGCUCACCUCCUGACUUUGGUUGCAGUAACACCUAAAAAUCCAAGCAAAGACUGUCAGGGAGCAUCCACAGCACUGCCCAGGCAGCGUUAGUGCGGGCAGGCGCUUUGCCUGACCCCGUUCCUGCAGGGAACCUGGCGAGAGGAGGUUUGGCCGAGGCACACUCUCGCUGCUCUCCCCACCCUGUCGGGAAGGGGCUGUGCGUCAGCCUCCCGAGACAUCUGCUGACAAAUUUUUCAUUAUGCAAUGGCCUUGCCUUCACAGGCAGCCAUAUGGCCCCAUGUUCUCCAGCGGGGCUGACAGCAACGCGUUCCUAGGUCCAGACUUCGCAUUUCAGGGAAAUUUCCUAUGAGCAGAUUUUUGGCACUUUCUUAAAUGCACCUCUGACCUGUGCUGAACAAAUUGGGAUAUAUAAAUCCUCCAGGAGAUUUUUGGAGAUCUCUUUCUCCCAGCUGGACAGUUCAUCAUGGCAAAGAGCAUAAGACUUUCCUCCACCAACCUGUGGCCAACAGCCAGCUGGUGCAAAAUGUGCUUAUUUUCCUCUUGCUUUCUCUAGCCAUGUGGAUGGCUUGGGUUUUGUUUCCAAGAAGUAAUCACUGGAAUAAAAAGCCCAGGCUAAAAAUGAUA
Molecule: long non-coding RNA, 2367 nt
Organism: Harpia harpyja (harpy eagle)
Lineage: Eukaryota; Metazoa; Chordata; Aves; Accipitriformes; Accipitridae
Exons: 2
Source: RefSeq, a predicted model, not a curated record